RNAcentral lists this ribosomal RNA (2192 nucleotides) under Salmonella enterica subsp. enterica serovar Agbeni. Its description in RNAcentral is "partial 23S ribosomal RNA". It matches the Rfam family "Bacterial large subunit ribosomal RNA", at positions 711 to 2802 of the family's 2925-position model. The record is from RNAcentral. Lineage: Bacteria; Pseudomonadati; Pseudomonadota; Gammaproteobacteria; Enterobacterales; Enterobacteriaceae. RNAcentral also lists the same sequence under 1 other name.
AGACCCGAAACCCGGUGAUCUAGCCAUGGGCAGGUUGAAGGUUGGGUAACACUAACUGGAGGACCGAACCGACUAAUGUUGAAAAAUUAGCGGAUGACCUGUGGCUGGGGGUGAAAGGCCAAUCAAACCGGGAGAUAGCUGGUUCUCCCCGAAAGCUAUUUAGGUAGCGCCUCGUGAAUUCAUCUCCGGGGGUAGAGCACUGUUUCGGCUAGGGGGCCAUCCCGGCUUACCAACCCGAUGCAAACUGCGAAUACCGGAGAAUGUUAUCACGGGAGACACACGGCGGGUGCUAACGUCCGUCGUGAAGAGGGAAACAACCCAGACCGCCAGCUAAGGUCCCAAAGUCAUGGUUAAGUGGGAAACGAUGUGGGAAGGCCCAGACAGCCAGGAUGUUGGCUUAGAAGCAGCCAUCAUUUAAAGAAAGCGUAAUAGCUCACUGGUCGAGUCGGCCUGCGCGGAAGAUGUAACGGGGCUAAACCAUGCACCGAAGCUGCGGCAGCGAACGUAUCACUUAAAGCGAUUCAGCGGGUUACGAUUGACGGAGCGAAGCGACGUCAAAGCGUAUACAAAGUCGAGUCGGUUUAAGGAUACGUUCGUUGGGUAGGGGAGCGUUCUGUAAGCCUGCGAAGGUGGCCUGUGAGGGUUGCUGGAGGUAUCAGAAGUGCGAAUGCUGACAUAAGUAACGAUAAAGCGGGUGAAAAGCCCGCUCGCCGGAAGACCAAGGGUUCCUGUCCAACGUUAAUCGGGGCAGGGUGAGUCGACCCCUAAGGCGAGGCCGAAAGGCGUAGUCGAUGGGAAACGGGUUAAUAUUCCCGUACUUGGUGUUACUGCGAAGGGGGGACGGAGAAGGCUAUGUUGGCCGGGCGACGGUUGUCCCGGUUUAAGCGUGUAGGUGUGUGUUCCAGGUAAAUCCGGUUCACUUUAACACUGAGGCGUGAUGACGAGGCACUACGGUGCUGAAGCAACAAAUGCCCUGCUUCCAGGAAAAGCCUCUAAGCAUCAGGUAACAUCAAAUCGUACCCCAAACCGACACAGGUGGUCAGGUAGAGAAUACCAAGGCGCUUGAGAGAACUCGGGUGAAGGAACUAGGCAAAAUGGUGCCGUAACUUCGGGAGAAGGCACGCUGACACGUAGGUGAAGUGAUUUACUCAUGGAGCUGAAGUCAGUCGAAGAUACCAGCUGGCUGCAACUGUUUAUUAAAAACACAGCACUGUGCAAACACGAAAGUGGACGUAUACGGUGUGACGCCUGCCCGGUGCCGGAAGGUUAAUUGAUGGGGUCAGCGCAAGCGAAGCUCCUGAUCGAAGCCCCGGUAAACGGCGGCCGUAACUAUAACGGUCCUAAGGUAGCGAAAUUCCUUGUCGGGUAAGUUCCGACCUGCACGAAUGGCGUAAUGAUGGCCAGGCUGUCUCCACCCGAGACUCAGUGAAAUUGAACUCGCUGUGAAGAUGCAGUGUACCCGCGGCAAGACGGAAAGACCCCGUGAACCUUUACUAUAGCUUGACACUGAACAUUGAGCCUUGAUGUGUAGGAUAGGUGGGAGGCUUUGAAGUGUGGACGCCAGUCUGCAUGGAGCCGACCUUGAAAUACCACCCUUUAAUGUUUGAUGUUCUAACGUGGACCCGUGAUCCGGGUUGCGGACAGUGUCUGGUGGGUAGUUUGACUGGGGCGGUCUCCUCCUAAAGAGUAACGGAGGAGCACGAAGGUUGGCUAAUCCUGGUCGGACAUCAGGAGGUUAGUGCAAUGGCAUAAGCCAGCUUGACUGCGAGCGUGACGGCGCGAGCAGGUGCGAAAGCAGGUCAUAGUGAUCCGGUGGUUCUGAAUGGAAGGGCCAUCGCUCAACGGAUAAAAGGUACUCCGGGGAUAACAGGCUGAUACCGCCCAAGAGUUCAUAUCGACGGCGGUGUUUGGCACCUCGAUGUCGGCUCAUCACAUCCUGGGGCUGAAGUAGGUCCCAAGGGUAUGGCUGUUCGCCAUUUAAAGUGGUACGCGAGCUGGGUUUAGAACGUCGUGAGACAGUUCGGUCCCUAUCUGCCGUGGGCGCUGGAGAACUGAGGGGGGCUGCUCCUAGUACGAGAGGACCGGAGUGGACGCAUCACUGGUGUUCGGGUUGUCAUGCCAAUGGCACUGCCCGGUAGCUAAAUGCGGAAGAGAUAAGUGCUGAAAGCAUCUAAGCACGAAACUUGCCCCGA